Molecule: long non-coding RNA, 368 nt
Organism: Aedes aegypti (yellow fever mosquito)
Lineage: Eukaryota; Metazoa; Arthropoda; Insecta; Diptera; Culicidae
Exons: 3
Source: RefSeq, a predicted model, not a curated record
UGGUAGCGAGGUAGGCGAAUUGUCGUGUGGUUGAAUUCAACCCGGCGUAAAAUGUAAAUAAAACAUAAGAAGCAUAAGAUUUUGGUAAAAUAUAGAUCAUCGUAUCGAAGCCAUUGUGAAAAGGUAGAAGUGAAUUUGGUGAUGCAAAAAUUAGUUUAUCGGAUCUUGAGUGAAAUAUAAAAAGCAGAAUUAUUGAUGUGUUUUCGUUCGGAAAUUAGUUCUGAGUUUCGGAUAUAGCUAUUGAAAAGUUGAAUCCUGCGGUAGUAAACGUACCCUGAAAAGAAAAGAAUAGUUAAAGGAAACUAGGCAACUAUAAAUGAACUAGCCCAGCGGUGACGAAACCUGUGAAGGAAGAAAGGGAUCGAAGA